Molecule: ribosomal RNA, 255 nt
Filed under: uncultured bacterium
Lineage: Bacteria
Description: partial 16S ribosomal RNA
Rfam family: Bacterial small subunit ribosomal RNA
Source: RNAcentral
UGAGUAAUACAUAAGUAACCUGCCCUAGACAGGGGGAUAACUAUUGGAAACGAUAGCUAAGACCGCAUAGGUACGGACACUGCAUGGUGACCGUAUUAAAAGUGCCUCAAAGCACUGGUAGAGGAUGGACUUAUGGCGCAUUAGCUGGUUGGCGGGGUAACGGCCCACCAAGGCGACGAUGCGUAGCCGACCUGAGAGGGUGACCGGCCACACUGGGACUGAGACACGGCCCAGACUCCUACGGGAGGCAGCAUG